GUGGGGAAUCUUGCGCAAUGGGCGAAAGCCUGACGCAGCCAUGCCGCGUGAAUGAUGAAGGUCUUAGGAUUGUAAAAUUCUUUCACCGGGGACGAUAAUGACGGUACCCGGAGAAGAAGCCCCGGCUAACUUCGUGCCAGCAGCCGCGGUAAUACGAAGGGGGCUAGCGUUGCUCGGAAUUACUGGGCGUAAAGGGAGCGUAGGCGGACAUUUAAGUCAGGGGUGAAAUCCCGAGGCUCAACCUCGGAACUGCCUUGGGUACUGGGUGUCUUGAGUGUGAGAGAGGUGAGAGGAACUCCGAGUGUAGAGGUGAAAUUCGUAGAUAUUCGGAAGAACACCAGUGGCGAAGGCGACUCACUGGCUCAUUACUGACGCUGAGGCUCGAAAGCGUGGGGAGCAAACAGGAUUAGAUACCCGGGUAGUCC
RNAcentral lists this ribosomal RNA (425 nucleotides) under uncultured bacterium. RNAcentral describes it as "partial 16S ribosomal RNA". It matches the Rfam family "Bacterial small subunit ribosomal RNA", at positions 354 to 796 of the family's 1533-position model. The record is from RNAcentral.